RNAcentral lists this ribosomal RNA (237 nucleotides) under uncultured Staphylococcus sp. RNAcentral describes it as "partial 16S ribosomal RNA". It matches the Rfam family "Bacterial small subunit ribosomal RNA", at positions 103 to 334 of the family's 1533-position model. Lineage: Bacteria; Bacillati; Bacillota; Bacilli; Caryophanales; Staphylococcaceae. The record is from RNAcentral.
CGGGUGAGUAACACGUGGAUAACCUACCUAUAAGACUGGGAUAACUUCGGGAAACCGGAGCUAAUACCGGAUAAUAUAUUGGACCGCAUGGUUCAAUAGUGAAAGACGGUUUUGCUGUCACUUAUAGAUGGAUCCGCGCCGCAUUAGCUAGUUGGUAAGGUAACGGCUUACCAAGGCAACGAUGCGUAGCCGACCUGAGAGGGUGAUCGGCCACACUGGAACUGAGACACGGUCCAG